CGCGUAGGCGGUCUGGACAGUCAGAUGUGAAAUUCCUGGGCUCAACCUGGGGACUGCAUUUGAUACGUUUGGACUGGAGUGGGGAAGAGGGUCGUGGAAUUUCCAGUGUAGAGGUGAAAUUCGUAGAUAUUGGAAAGAACACCGGUGGCGAAGGCGGCGACCUGGUCCUUGACUGACGCUGAGGCGCGAAAGCGUGGGGAGCAAACAGGAUUAGAUACCCUGGUAGUCCACGCUGUAAACGAUGUGUGCUGGAUGUUGGGCGGCCUAGCCGUUCAGUGUCGUAGCUAACGCGAUAAGCACACCGCCUGGGGAGUACGGCCGCAAGGUUGAAA
This 332-nucleotide ribosomal RNA is filed under the name uncultured bacterium. Its description in RNAcentral is "bacterial SSU rRNA". It matches the Rfam family "Bacterial small subunit ribosomal RNA", at positions 568 to 899 of the family's 1533-position model. The record is from RNAcentral.